GAGCCACUGCCACGCUGUUACUGGUGGUACUGGGAGCUGCUGCCACGACGGUACUGGUGUUACUGGGAGCACUGGGAGCCGCUGCCGUGAUGGUACUGGGAGCACUGGGAGCCGCAGCACGGGUGCCACUGGUCAAACUGGGAGCAGCGCUGCUCAUACUGGGAGCACUGGUCAAACUGGUCGUACUGGUGACACUGGGAACCGCAGCACCGGUCAAACUGGUUGAACUGGGAGCCGCAGCACCGGUCAAACUGGUUGAACUGGGAGCCGCAGCACUGGUCAAACUGGUUGAACUGGGAGCCGCAGCACUGGUCAGACUGGUUGAACUGGGAGCCGCCGCACUGGUCACACUGGUGACACUGGGAGCCGCAGCACUGGUCAAACUGGUUGUACUGGUGACACUGGGAGCUGUAGCAGUGGUUGAACUGGUCAAACUGGGAGCCGCAGCACUGCUCAAACUGGUUGUACUGGGAACUGUAGCACCGGUCAAACUGGUCGUACUGGUCAAACUGGUAGCCACGGCACCGGUCAAACUGGUCGAACUGGGAGUCGCAGCACUGGUCAAGCUGGUUGAACUGGUGACACUGGGAGCCGCCGCACCGGUCAAACUGGUCAAACUGGGAGCUGCCACACUGGUGAAACUGGUGACACUGGUGACACUGGGAGCCGCCGCACUGGUCAAACUGGUUGUACUGGUCAAACUGGGAGCCGCUGCACUGGUCAAACUGGGAGCCGCCGCACCGGUCAAACUGGUCACACUGGUCGCACUGGUGACACUGGGAGCCGCAGCACUGGUCAAACUGGGAGCCACAGCACUGGUCAAACUGGUCGAACUGGUGACACUGGGAGCUGCAGCACUGGUCAAACUGGGAGCCGCCGCACUGGUCAAACUGGUCACACUGGUCGCACUGGUGACACCCGGACUGGUCCCGCCGGUGGCUUUAGGGACAAUCCCAGCACCGACCCUCCCCGGACUGGUCGUACUGGUCAAACUGGGAGCGCUGGGAGCCGCGCCGGCGGCGGCUCUGGUGACGAUGACGCCGCCGCCCAAACUGGGAGCGCCGGUGGCCUUACUGGUGGCACUGGUCAUACUGGUGAUGCCGGUCGUGCUGGUUAUACUGGUGAUACUGGUGAUGCCGGUCAUGCUGGUCAUACUGGUGAUACUGGUGAUGCCGGUGGCUCCGGCGGCCCUGGCCAUGGCCGUGGCCUUGGCGUUGGCGUCGGCGCUGGCGCGCAGGAUGGCGGC
RNAcentral lists this long non-coding RNA (1246 nucleotides) under Lonchura striata (white-rumped munia). Its description in RNAcentral is "domestica (Bengalese finch) lncRNA (ENSLSDG00000003262.1)". The record is from RNAcentral. Lineage: Eukaryota; Metazoa; Chordata; Aves; Passeriformes; Estrildidae.